CAAAGUAAAAACAAAAUCCAGUAUAACCAAAAUUUUGUAAACUAUGGUCAAGUCAGUUAUAUGCAUCACUGGAGGAUCCUUGGAAGAAUGGAUCCCUUUCCUUCCAUAAAUGGCAUCAAGAAGAGCAUCAUAAAAGUUAUAUCUCUCUUCAAAGUCACAAUGUCUAAUGACAGUGCCAAAGCCACGACGAAGACUGAUCCAAAAUCCAUUACUCUAUCACCAACUCCGAAUGGAGCUCCAUUUGGAUCAACAAGACCAAACUUUCUAGAAUAUUCCAUUUGUACAUUUUUGAAUAUGGAGCUCCAUUUUCAUCAAUAG
Non-coding RNA from Vicia faba (fava bean), 318 nucleotides. NCBI's taxonomy places the organism in Eukaryota, Viridiplantae, Streptophyta, Magnoliopsida, Fabales, Fabaceae. The record is from the annotation of a GenBank genome assembly.